Molecule: long non-coding RNA, 990 nt
Organism: Heterocephalus glaber (naked mole-rat)
Lineage: Eukaryota; Metazoa; Chordata; Mammalia; Rodentia; Bathyergidae
Source: Ensembl
AUCUCUCCAAGUGCAAGACUUGGAGACACGGAGACGCGGAGCCCUUUAACUUCAGCCUUCGUGUCUCCUGGGACAGAUGUGACGAAGGCUGAGGCUGCCUAACUGCUGUGGAGGCACUUGGCAGCUUCUCCACCGAGCCUGGCAGAGAGCCACUGGCUGUGGAAUGGACCUGGCACCCGAGGGAGGAGAGAAGACCCAAGGCGGGGAGAGUCCUGGCCUCUCUCUCACCAGCCCUGAGACUGGGCAGGUGGCCUGGCCUUCACCUUCCCCAGCCUUCUGACGGACUGUCUUGCUCUGUCUCCUGAGGGGCUCAGUGGUCCCCCAAGAGGCCAAGCUCUUCCUCAGUGUCUCCGGAUUGUAGAAUCUGCUUUCCUGUUGUCCGUGAGCUAGAUGGCAGCUACCCUUCAACUGGAGUAUCCUUCUGUAGGUGACCUUGUUCUCUCCAUACCCACUCGGUGGGCUGGGUCCCCAUCCCUGAUUUAUCUGAGUGGGGGACCUGACCUGAACCAUUGGCAUCCUGGAGCUGAAUGUAGAAAGACCUGGCCACACCUCUGUUCCAUCGGUCACUACCACCCUUCUUCCAGCGCCCCCAUGGCUCCACCUUGUCCCCACACGAGGUGGAGUGAAGAGGCGGCAGGCAAGGUCUCCCUGAAACAUCUGAUGAUUCACUAUUGACUCCAUCACUCUUGUGAGGAAGAAAAUAUUUUUAGGAAGAUCCAAGCAAUUUCCUCGGAGGUUCCACUGACCAACACUGAGCCAACACUCACCUCUAAAUACAAAAGAAGCUGGGAAAGGUGGCAUCUGGAACCUUCAGUUCUCUGGCACAUGAGAAGAGUAGAGAAAUGACAAUGGUGGAGUCAGCCACUGGUGGUUUUGUUUAUUUAAAAUUUUGUAACUAUUUCAAACGUCUCUGUCUUUUCUAUAGUUUUUAGGUUUGUUUCUAUAAAUAAGCUGUAAAAUUCUUGAACAGUAAAAAUUGUGACUUCCGUG